AGAGUUUGAUUCUGGCUCAGAACGAACGCUGGCAGCGUGGAUUAGGCAUGCAAGUCGAACGAGAAGCUAUGUUUUCAAUUCUUCGGAAGAGAAUUUGUAGUGGACAGUGGCGGAAGGGUGAGUAACGCGUGGAUAACCUACCCUUGAGUUGGGGACAACAUCCGAAAGGAGUGCUAGUACCGAAUGUGGUAACUCCGUGCAAACGGAGCUCACUAAAGACGGGGAUUCUUCGGAACCUGUCGCUCAAGGAGGGGUCCGCGUCCCAUCAGCUUGUUGGUAAGGUAAUGGCUUACCAAGGCAUACGGGUAGCCGGCCUGAGAGGGUGAUCGGCCACACUGGGACUGAGACACUGCCCAGACUCCUACGGGAGGCUGCAGUCGAGGAUCAUUCGCAAUGCGCGAAAGCGUGACGAUGCGACGCUGCGUGGAGGAUGACGGCCUUAGGGUUGUAAACUCCUGUCAUGAGGGAAAAACGGCCAUAAGGUUAAUAGCCUUAAGGUGUGAUGGUACCUCAAGAGGAAGCCACGGCUAACUCUGUGCCAGCAGCCGCGGUAAUACAGAGGUGGCGAGCGUUGUUCGGAUUUACUGGGCGUAAAGGGUGCGUAGGUGGCAAUGUAUGUCGGAUGUGAAAUCUCGAGGCUCAACUUCGAAAUUGCAUCCGAGACUGCAUAGCUUGAGUACAGGAUGGGAGAGCGGAAUUCUUGGUGUAGCGGUGAAAUGCGUUGAUAUCAAGAAGAACACCGGCGGCGAAGGCGGCUCUCUGGGAUGUUACUGACACUGAGGCACGAAAGCUGGGGGAGCAAACAGGAUUAGAUACCCUGGUAGUCCCAGCCGUAAACGGUGCACACUUGGUGUUGGAGGUAUUGACCCCUCCAGUGCCGGAGCUAACGCGUUAAGUGUGCCGCCUGGGGAGUACGGCCGCAAGGCUAAAACUCAAAGAAAUUGACGGGGGCCCGCACAAGCGGAGGAGCAUGUGGCUUAAUUCGAUGCAACGCGAAGAACCUUACCAGGGCUUGACAUGGGGACCCUUCGGGGGUGGUAGCGAAAGCUACCUUUACCAUCACAGGUGCUGCAUGGCUGUCGUCAGUUCGUGCCGUGAGGUGUUGGGUUAAGUCCCGCAACGAACGCAACCCCUGUGGUUAGUUGCCACCGCCGGUGAUGAGCCGGCGAGCACUCUAGCCAGACUGCCCGUACAAGCGGGAGGAAGGUGGGGAUGACGUCAAGUCAGUAUGGCCC
Molecule: ribosomal RNA, 1235 nt
Filed under: metagenome
Description: bacterial SSU rRNA
Rfam family: Bacterial small subunit ribosomal RNA
Source: RNAcentral